RNAcentral lists this long non-coding RNA (3139 nucleotides) under Nicotiana tabacum (common tobacco). Its description in RNAcentral is "long non-coding RNA (NTAB_LNC006925)". The record is from RNAcentral. Lineage: Eukaryota; Viridiplantae; Streptophyta; Magnoliopsida; Solanales; Solanaceae.
UUUUGUUCCCUCCUCAUUUUCCCCCCUGAAUUUUGCUAAACCCACCAAUAUAACUCCUUUUUCCUUUUAUUUAUUUUUUUGGGUAAAUACAAUAACUAAAUUAAAAUUUCUUCAUUUCUUCCAAUGCUUUCAUCUUGCUCAAGCUCAUUCUUUGGAAGCAGACCAAAUCAAAAUCACCACACAACCUAAAUUCCACCUUCCUCAAAUCACCAGACAACUUAAAUUCCACCUUCCUCAAAUCACCAGCAAACCUAAAUUCCCAAAUCCCCAAAUCUAUUUGUUAACCAAAAAUCCCUAAAAUUGCUAACCCAAAACUCCCAAAUCCCUAAAGUCCCGAACUCUAUUUGUUUUACUCGAAGGAAGAGAGGAAAAAUCACCGUAAACGUCGCUACGAUCAGGUUUCCCCCUCCCCCUCCCCCCCCCCCCCGCCAACCCCUCUCUUCCAUCAAUCCUCUCUUUUUUUUCUCUAGUUAUGUUUUUUCUUUUUGCGAUUCUCUCUGGCAACCAGAAGAUUCAGAAUUUGAGAUCUCCAGAUCAAGAUUCUUCAUCUUGUAAGCUUUCUAUUGAUCUAUUUUUUGCAUAUAUUAGUACUGUUUUGUUCCCAUUUUUUAUUUUUUGGUUUAGGGUUUCUUUCAAGGUUAAUGCGCAAGUUUUGUACUUUAUAUUUGUAGACUGUGAUCAUUUUAUGUAUGGCUUUAUAUGUUUUUAGGUUGUCUUUAGAACAAUUAUAACGUUGUACAUUGAAUUGGGUGUGAAUGUAGGUAAUUGGGAGGAACGUUGAACUUCAGGUAAUCAGUCUCUCAAAUAUUCCGAUGACUAUUGAUUAAUAUGGUUACUUACCUUGCAUAACACUUUGAAUAGAAAGAAGAGUAUUAUAGUUUCUCUAUAUUAACAUGAUAUUUGUCUCCAGUUUGAUUGAAAUUAUGGUAAUUUUUCCCUGUGAAUAGAGAAUACACAAUAGAGAACAGGGCUAGUUGGGAUUACUAUUAUAAAAAUUGGUCAUGACCAUGGUAGGGUAUGUAUAUAUUUCAUACCUUUAGGAUCCCAGCAUGUUCUUAUUUGAUGUUUAGUAUUUGGCCAUUUAUUAUAAAUUCAAUUUGGUGAUGGUUUUUUUCUGUACUUUCUGUUGACACUUUGAAUAAAUACAUAGUAGUGCUAGUGCUAGCUUACAUAUUUAAAACAUUGUUGCAUUUGGCAGAGAGGACAGGGGUCUCCAAAUAUCAAAUUAGUAAAUGUUAAGGUUUCUUUUAUUAAGUCUUAAAUUUUAGGCCUCUUCUGGUCUGUGUAUGUCACUAAGGUAAGAGUUGUCAUGAUGUUAGGCCAAUAUGAAAAGAUUUUAAGUUAUAUGCACUAAUAGUUUUUACACUCCAAUCUUGAUCCUGUUUAACAAGAAGUAAGAGGUAAAGCAGACGAAUUCUUAUUCGCGUACAUCUUUUGAAUUUCCUAUUUUAGCAAUGUUGACUGUCUGUCCAUAGGCAACAGUGGAUACACUUGCUGAGAAGUUAAGAGAGAAGGGAGUUUAUGUUAGUACUGUUAGGAUAAGUAACAUAGGUGUCUGAAAUAAAAUAGUAAUAGUAAUAAGAGUGUUAUAUAGCAGUAUAUGUAGCUUCAAUUAUGAAUCUUCCAAGCUGCUACUAUAAAGGAACUUUCAGUUUUUUGAAGCUCUUUUUGGAAAGGCUCUUUUUGGUAAGAUACACUGAUUCCCUUUGUGUUUUUGAUAAAAUUAGUAGGUGAAACAACUUUGGUAGUAGUAGGGGUUGGAGAAGCUGCAAAUUUGGUGCGAUAAGGGCAGAGACUUUGGCUCCUCAUCUUAAAGUUAUUAUUGAAAAAGCCAAAUUUUUGUCAAAGGUGAUGUCCGCUUUUCUAAGUAGAAACACUAGAAAAUUUCUUCAUUUUCAUUUAAUAAAUGUAUUUAAAUGGUUUGGAUCCGAAUAAAUUUGAAUGAUUUACUUUUGUUUUAUUUUGGUUUUUUUUUUUUGUGGGUUUCUUCUUGUUUGUUCAAUUUUUUGUCUCUAAAUAGUAAUAGAAUUGCUGGGUUAAUGCCUAAUUUAUGGAUAUUCCUAUAUGGUAAAAGGAUUUUGGAUGCCUAAUUACUCUCCAGAUUUUUUAAAUUUGUAAAUAUUCAGUUAUCUAUUCUUUAUUUUAUUAUAAUAUCAAUUGAGUUGUAUUUUCUGUUAGUUGGCUUAUCUAGCGGAUUGAGUUAGGUGUCAUCACGACUUGUGGUUUUUGGAUAGUGACAAAAUCCGGGCAUAUACCCAAGUCUAAAAUCAUCAUCCGACCUAACGGAAUUUUAAAAAUUCUGAUCCAAGGUCAAAUACACAAAAGUCAAACUUGGUCAACUUUUCCAACUUAAAACUUCCUAUUUAAGAAUCAUUCUUCCAAAUCAAGUCCGAACAACUCUAUAACCAAAAACCGACCAUACACGGAGUCUUAAUACACCAUAUGAAGCUACUCUUACAAGUUAUUCUUAUGAUAGAGCUGACAAUUGACGAUUAUGAGAUUACCGUGAUAAAGGGGCGACGUUCGUGCAUGUUCCCAUGUGAUAGGCGUAUAAAAGGCUCUGGAUGAUGAUUUGAAGGGUCCUCGUACCAUAUUCAUGACUCAUGCAAGUUGGACUGGUUGGUGUGAAAACUUCAUAUUCUUGUAUCUUCAUUCUUCACACACAUCCCGUGCUCCUGUACAAUCAAAGUUCCGAACUGGACGUUCUUGGAAACUUUACACAAACAAUGUUAGCUUUCUGCUACAAUUUAACUUGCUCUCGCUGUGUUAAUAAAUUUUAUAGGUAGUUCUCUUUGAGUUGGAAUUUUAUUUACACCAUGCAAGUAUAUGAUAGAUGGAAUGACCCAAAUUUGACGUCACUUUAUUCUAGUAGGUUCUUUUGCUUUGUGGGCUUUAAAAUUUAAAUAGAGAAAGAGAGAGUAAAUGAACAAAGUAGUUACUUUUUUUAUAGACUAAAGAGGUGUCGUAGUUGUAGCUAGCUUUAUCAACAGAAGGAUGACCCACUAAGGUCCAAAAAUGACCAUGACUUAAAUGAGAACAUUAUAAACUUGACUUUAGUAGUAUCCUGUCCCAUCUAUACAUGAAUGUAAGAGCAGUCAGUAGGUAGCAAUGUGAAAGCCAAUUCACAAGGGUCCCUCCC